RNAcentral lists this ribosomal RNA (726 nucleotides) under uncultured bacterium. RNAcentral describes it as "bacterial SSU rRNA". It matches the Rfam family "Bacterial small subunit ribosomal RNA", at positions 28 to 764 of the family's 1533-position model. The record is from RNAcentral.
GAUGAACGCUGGCGGCGUGCCUAACACAUGCAAGUCGAACGGACUUAGCGAAGUGCUUGCACUUUGCGAAAGUUAGUGGCGGACGGGUGAGUAACACGUAGGCAACCUGCCUCUUACACUGGGAUACCUUCGGGAAACUGAAGUUAAUACCGGAUAAGCUUACAGUACGGCAUCGUACAGUGAGAAAAGAUUUAUCGGUAAGAGAUGGGCCUGCGCAAGAUUAGCUAGUUGGUGGGGUAAAGGCCUACCAAGGCUACGAUCUUUAGCCGACCUGAGAGGGUGAUCGGCCACAUUGGGACUGAGACACGGCCCAAACUCCUACGGGAGGCAGCAGUGAGGAAUAUUGCACAAUGGGGGCAACCCUGAUGCAGCAACGCCGCGUGAGUGAAGAAGGUUUUCGGAUCGUAAAGCUCUUUAGUGUGGGAAAAAUUUUGAUGGUACCACAAGAAUAAGCACCGGCUAACUACGUGCCAGCAGCCGCGGUAAUACGUAGGGUGCAAGCGUUAUCCGGAUUUACUGGGUGUAAAGCGAGAGUAGGCGGUUUAUUAAGCCAUGUGUGAAAGCCCGAGGCUCAACCUCGGUUAGCACAAGGAACUGGUAAACUAGAGUAUUGGAGAGGUAAGUGGAAUUCCUAGUGUAGCGGUGAAAUGCGUAGAUAUUAGGAGGAACACCAGUGGCGAAGGCGACUUACUGGACAAUUACUGACGCUGAGUCUCGAAAGCGUGG